Molecule: ribosomal RNA, 1200 nt
Filed under: uncultured fungus
Lineage: Eukaryota; Fungi
Description: eukaryotic LSU rRNA
Rfam family: Eukaryotic large subunit ribosomal RNA (bases 570-1200)
Source: RNAcentral
AAGUCGUAACAAGGUUUCCGUAGGUGAACCUGCGGAAGGAUCAUUAACGAGUUAGGGUCUUCCAGGCCCGACCUCCCAACCCUUUGUUUACAGAACCUCUGUUGCUUCGGCGGACCCGUCUCACGACCGCCGGAGGACCGCCGAGAGGCGUCCUCUGGUCAGUGUCCGUCGAUAGCCCAACUUAAACCCUGAAUGAAUCGUGUCGUAUGUCUAAGUCUAAGAUUAAAUAAAGCAAAACUUUCAACAACGGAUCUCUUGGUUCUGGCAUCGAUGAAGAACGCAGCGAAAUGCGAUAAGUAAUGCGAAUUGCAGAAUUUCAGUGAGUCAUCGAAUCUUUGAACGCACAUUGCGCCCUUUGGUAUUCCGAAGGGCAUGCCUGUUCGAGCGUCAUUAUCACCCCUCAAGCCCUGUGCUUGGUGUUGGACGGCUGGUCGCGCGAGUGACCCCUCCCAAAGACAACGACGGCGGCCUGUGGUUCCCCCGGUACACUGAGCUUUUCAUCGAGCACGUGUCGGAUAAGGGCGCCCGGGACACGGUCCUGUCCUCUCACGAGGAAAUUUUAUCAAGGUUGACCUCGGAUCAGGUAGGAAUACGCGCUGAACUUAAGCAUAUCAAUAAGCGCAGGAAAAGAAACCAACAGGGAUUGCCUCAGUAACGGCGAGUGAAGCGGCAAUAGCUCAAAUUUGAAAUCUGGCCUCUUGAGGUCCGAGUUGUAAUUUGUAGAGGAUGUUUUGGGUACCGCCCCGGUUUAAAUUUCUUGGAACAGAAUGUCAGAGAGGGUGAGAAUCCCGUCUUGGACCGGCGUAGGGCCUGUGUAAAACUCCUUCGACGAGUCGAGUUGUUUGGGAAUGCAGCUCAAAAUGGGUGGUAAAUUUCAUCUAAAGCUAAAUAUUGGCCAGAGACCGAUAGCGCACAAGUAGAGUGAUCGAAAGAUGAAAAGCACUUUGAAAAGAGAGUUAAACAGUAUGUGAAAUUGUUGAAAGGGAAGCGCUGGCGACCAGACUUGAGCGCGACGGUUCCCCCAGCCUUUUGGCUGGGCUACUCCGUCGUGUCCAGGCCAACAUCGGUUCGGAGGGUCGGUUAAAGGCUCUGGGAAUGUACCUACUCACGGGUAGACUUAUAGACCAGGGUGUCAUGCGACCUCUCGGGACCGAGGAACGCGCUUCGGCUCGGAUGUUGGCGUAAUGGUUGUCAGCGACC